This is a long non-coding RNA of Amphiprion ocellaris (clown anemonefish), 349 nucleotides long. The record is from Ensembl. Lineage: Eukaryota; Metazoa; Chordata; Actinopteri; Pomacentridae.
UGUUGACACCUUGAAAAAGCACAAACAUGAAGUUUUAACUGGAGUUGACGGUUGCUAUGGGGCCGUUGCUAAGGAGUCUGUUAAACUGCAUAGCUAAUCAGCAGCAGAAGCCUCAUGUCUUCUGACCACAUCUGGCUGCUUCAGAGACCUCUGCCGCCCAAAACUUUCCCUCCAGCGGUGAAAGAUCUUCCAGCUCCCAGACAUCCAGGAAGUGAAUCAUUUGAAGGUUCCUGGAUGUCACCAGUGAGUCAGAGACCUCCAGAAUAAAUCCAGCGGCGGCACAUGAUAAUGAUGUCAGUCCAGCAGUAGGAGUGAGGAGGGGUUUUAUUAGAAAAGUGAUGGAAAAUCA